Molecule: long non-coding RNA, 428 nt
Filed under: Linum usitatissimum (flax)
Lineage: Eukaryota; Viridiplantae; Streptophyta; Magnoliopsida; Malpighiales; Linaceae
Description: long non-coding RNA (LUSI_LNC005566)
Source: RNAcentral
UAACAUAUACAUACAUACAUACAUACUAGCAGAGUUCAUUCAGACGAUCGAUGCAUUUCUAGCUGGUCCCUUUUCACUGGAGCAGUCAUGGUGGUAUCGAACAUGCAUGGAAGGAAGAAAGUAGAUAUUAAUUAAAAAGGUUUAACACAUGAGCCGACGUUGGAGGCCUCUGAAUUAAUUGUAAAGAAAAAUUCUAUUUACUGACUAAAAGAAGAAGGUGGUAUUUUUAUCCAAUUGGUGCCAUUGUUUCUUUCCUUUAUGUUCCAAGAAAGACUAUGAUAUGGAUCUCACUCACCUCUCUCUGUUGUGGCGCAGCAGAUGAGAAUAGAGUAAAUAUAUUGCACUAAUAAACCACACACCGUAAAUAUUUCUCAGGUAAGUUGGAAGUGGCGGUAGUCCGCCACACUUAAAAUCACUAUGGAUGGGUG